Long non-coding RNA from Tachysurus fulvidraco (yellow catfish), 1659 nucleotides. RefSeq lists it as uncharacterized. The transcript is spliced from 3 exons. The record is from RefSeq and is a predicted model, not a curated record. Lineage: Eukaryota; Metazoa; Chordata; Actinopteri; Siluriformes; Bagridae.
GUUGCAUGCAGUAGGCUAUAAGGUAAGUAGUGAUUGUUCAUUUGACGUUUACUCAAGUGGAAGAAUGUAAGUAAUAAACUUAUUAUCUUAAUAUCAAAACCUUACAUUUUCUCUGGACCUAAUGAUAAAUACAUAUCUGACCUUUGGAAUGAACCAAAAAAACCUAGAAAUCGCAUUCAUAACGAUUUAUGGUGAUUUUAUUUCUUUGCCUACAUUGACGCUAAUGCAUUAAGAGGAGGGGGUCCCCCGUACCAAGAUGGCGGCUCAGUUGACGCAUUCGUUCCAAUGUACUGCCCUAUACAAGGCGACAUCUAGUGUGUAUAUAUAUCUAUGGUCACAAAGAUCUCGGUCCAUAAUGUUUAUUAUCCACUAGAGGGCGCUUGUGUACAUCAGCACUCAUUAGCACUCACUCACUUCCUGUUUGUCAUGCACAUGGUGAGAUGGAACAAAUGUAAUUGUUACAAGGUAAAGCUAUUUCUACCUGUAUCGUAUGCCAUCCAUCCAAGAAGGUGCAAGUUAUAACCCCUUCUCUUAAGUCACAAGCAGGCAAAAGUGUGUGUUGGUGUUGAUGUCUAUACCAAUAAAAUAAAACAUCUGUGCAAAAGAACCUCAGCCUUCGCAAUGUGACUAAGGGCGGCAUACCGAGUGUGUGUCUAACAGAGGAGGAAAAGACAACAGAAAUGUUAUUGGUGGGCCGUAUGCAUCAUAUGGGGAAUAUACCUAUAUGGAAUCUUCACUCUGAGUUCGACCCCUGGGUCUUAAAGUCACCGGAUUCAUGUUUCCUAACUGAGCAGAUACACAGAUCACUUGUAAGCUUUAGGGCAUUGAUCCUUCCAUAAACUUGUCUAUCCAUCCAUAUAUUUAAAUAACAACUUACGUUAUGCAUCUUUUUAAAUAGAUUUUUUUUUCUUGCAUACAGUUGGUAUGUGUUUGAGGUAUCGUAGAUAGAUAUCAUGAUAGUUUGAGAUAUAGAUAGAAUUAAUCAAUGAUAAAACAUUGAAACAUUCAAAUAAAAAAAUCGGUGUGAUGCUGCCAUGUGUAUUGCUCAUGCUGUGUGCUACUUGCAAAUUGGUCAAUUAAUGACAAGUAAAUUUUGAAUUAAAAUAAUUCAAAUGGGGGAUCAGGAGGAAACCAAAUGAUUGUCAUCUAAAUAAUGAUCACUGUGUUCCAAUUAGCUUAGAAGCAUCAAUAUUUUUUUUUUCCUUAAAGCAUUUUUUUCAUUUUAAUCAAUCAAACUGACACAAAAUAUCUGACUUUAUAGACUAAUUAUUGUCACCUCACUGAUCCCUAGGGAUUAUUGUAUGAGCCUCAAAGAUAGUUAAGUAAAGACAUUGUAUUCCCUGUUAUUUUUCUCUAAACCCCACAUUUCCUUUCUAAAACAUCAGCUUUGUGUUUUCUGUGUGCUUUAGGUGGUCCAGAAUAGUGACCCCACCAUACAGGAGUCAGAACCUUUUCAUUGCUUAACUCAGUUAUGUACAGAGUAGUUUGAAUUUUUGUUUUCUCAGUGGAACGAAAUGUGGCAUAAAUACAUAAAGAAAUUUAUUUAUUUUAUUUAUUCAUAAAUAAUAUUCUUGGGACUAUAAUAACACUUAAAAAAAAAAAAAAAAGAAUUUUUUUUUUAGACACAUGGUCCAGAUGUCUUUUAAUUUGAAAAGCAUU